GCCCAACAUCUAGCCCUCACUAUUCGCAUGACCCCCUCAACCUCUCACCUCUUAACAAAACA
This 62-nucleotide ribosomal RNA is filed under the name Glandirana tientaiensis (Tientai rough-skinned frog). Its description in RNAcentral is "partial 16S ribosomal RNA". The record is from RNAcentral. Lineage: Eukaryota; Metazoa; Chordata; Amphibia; Anura; Ranidae.